This 72-nucleotide transfer RNA is filed under the name Xenopus laevis (African clawed frog). It matches the Rfam family "tRNA". From Rfam's summary of the family: Transfer RNA (tRNA) molecules are approximately 80 nucleotides in length. Lineage: Eukaryota; Metazoa; Chordata; Amphibia; Anura; Pipidae. The record is from Rfam by way of RNAcentral.
GGGGAUGUAGCUCAGUGGAAAAGUACUUGCUUGUCAUGUAUAAGGUUUUGGGUUCAAUCUCAAGCAUCUCCA